This is a non-coding RNA of Heterocephalus glaber (naked mole-rat), 2776 nucleotides long. The record is from RefSeq and is a predicted model, not a curated record. Lineage: Eukaryota; Metazoa; Chordata; Mammalia; Rodentia; Bathyergidae.
GUGGGGCCCGCGCCCGGGCGGGAGGGAAGGUCGAGACCGCGGGGUCGCCUGGGCCCCUCCGCGGCCGCAGGUGUGCGGUGCCCGGCCCUGCUCCCGGGAAACCGCUCCCGAAGCCGGGCCGGCUGCUCGAUCGAGGCGGGUUUGAGUUGGAGGAGCCGCAGGACGGCAACUUGGUUUUCCCAGCAACGGGAGCCGCUGUUUCUGGAAACAGCGCGAGGCGGGAGGAAGCCCGCUCGGUCACGCAGGUAAUUUCGGCUUCAGGGAAGCGGCGCCCAAGGCUGGGCGGACUCGCACCCAGCGCCCGCGCCCACGGCAGCGCAGGCCCCACCGGCCUCCCUGCUGCCGACCGCGCCGGAGUCUCGGGUUGGGAGCGAAGUUGGCCCACGCGCGCCAAGUGGUGAAGCCUCCCGGGGAAGAGCGGGGGCCCUCCCCUCCCCUUCUCCUCUCCUCUCCCCUCCUCUGGGGCUGCACAGUCCUGCUCGGCCUCGCCGCGGAUGCGCCUGCGAUCCCGAAGUGCUGGAGGCCGAGUACCGGGACCGCCAGUUCGAGCCCAGCCUGGGGACUCAGUGACUUCAGAGACCCUGUCUCAAAAGGAAAACUGUAAAAGGUCGUGGGGCGGGGCGCAGCGCCGUGCAAAGGCCCUGGGCUCAAUGCUACCACAGCAAAUAAAUACAUAAGACUGUGACAGGCGCUCCAGGCCCCAGCACAGGAAGCGUGAAGCCCGCCUGGGAGGUCAGCUCUAAGAUGGAAGGGACCAGCACUCCGGGCUUUUUCACCAGCACUCUGGGGCUGAGGCAGGAGGAUCGCCGUGAGUUCAAGGCCAGCCCGAACUACAUAUUGAGACCCUGUCUCAAAUAACAACAGCAGCAAAUUAGAUAUACCAGCACACAUGCUUUGCUUUUGAGUGGAGGGGCAUGAGCCAGCUACUGAUCCAGGCUCUGCUGGGAGAGUGUGGGGUAAAAGGUGUCCCUGUCCGUCCUGACUCUGCAAAUAACUGCUUGUCGGUGUUCGAUAAUCAACAGAAGACAGGCUAGAGACAGCACCUUGUGUUCCAUGACGAUUUCGCAGGUCCCGACAGGUGCAGGCGCUCCCUCUCCCAAGCCAUAAGCUGGUCUCCAAGGGCAGGAGUUGAAAGAGACUGAUAAUAGAAAACAUCCAUAAAAACUUCAUUAAGCAUGGAGGGUGUCGGAGACCAGAGAACUGAGGCCCAACCGGCCUCCCCUGUGAGCAUGCAGGAGAAAGGCUGCACACAGGGUUGAUGGCUAUCGCAGGUUCCAGGGAAAAGCAAAGACAGCUGAGUCAGGGAGAACAGGGUAGCAGGUCUAGGUCCCAGAGCACAGCCGGCCCCCAGUGUACGGCUUGGAGCAAGGCUCAGCUACAGAGGCUCAUUAAAGAGGAGAAAGUCAUGACUAGCAGUUUUACAACUUCCCCAAGGUCCCCUGAGAAAUGACAUGACUGUAAGAAAGCUUCGUAGUCAUUCAGUUAAGUAAAACAUAUUGCUAUUACGGAUUCUGCCUUGGGACAGGACUUGGGGAGGUGACAAUGGGGCAAGUUCAAAAUGACCCAUCGGGUGGGGCGUAGCUCAGCGGCCGAUGCCUACCGUGUUCGAGGCCCUGGGUGUAGCUCCCAAGCCCCUGCUCGAUAGAGAGCUGAGAGGAACACAGAAAAACUGCUUAUUGUUUAUUUUCAAGAGAACUUAGGCAUAUGAUUUAAAAUUAUAAUGCUAUAGACUAUUAACUUUAAAAGAACCCAGUCAUUAUACUGAACUUGGCUUGAUUCUACUUACACGUCACUUAACUUAGCAGAUAUUCAUUGGCUCCGGCAUCAUUGAAGUGUUAAAAGGAAAGGUGCAGUUUAUGCUGUUUCAGUAACGAGGGCCUAAUUAUUUCAUUUCUACUGAGAACAAUAUUUAAAAUCUUACAGAAAACUAGAAAAUAGUGUGAAAAUGGGCACCACACUGAUCAGCUAAUGGACAGCAGACUGAGUGGCAGCUGGGCUGCAGGAAAUGCAGCCACACCCACAGACAGCUCCCAGCACUGAGGACCUCCCGAGGACUGCGGGGUCCUUUCUGCCACUGCCUGGCAACAAGUCUGUGGAUGCGGCGUCAUCCAAAUAAGGACUUUCGGGCGUUCCUGUAAAGUUACAAACCUCAUGCAGUCGCCUGCCCACGCCUUAUGGUGUCACAGAAAGGAUCCCAGUUGUGGGGGUACAGGGAUCCUAUGUCCGAACUCAGAGGAGAGAUGAGUGAGUUAUAUCUUCCUGCCAUUUUGUCUUUCAGGACUUUGACGUGCCAAACCAGGCUUGACUUUUCUUUCUUAAACUGUUUGCUUCCGGUUAUUUGAUUCUACCUGGAUGAUACCUGCAGUGUCAUUCUAACGCUGCUCUCAUUUCUUCCUGGAACCCGUACUCGAGCAGCAGGGACCUCAGAAGCCCUGCAGACGAAGCCAGUCCCUGCCUUGCGUCUGCCACCUGUUCUGUGUCCCUUUAGCUUAAACGUGCUGGGAAUGAACCCAGGGUCUGGCGCAUCCUAGUGAAGGCUGCACCCCUGAGCUGCAGACCCUGCCCACGGAUUCUCCUCUCCUCCUCCUCCUGAGGUCACUGGGGACUGCCAUCAGGGCUCUACCACUGCUCUGCUCCAUCUUUUACAGGUCUUUUAUUCUGAGACAGCGUCUUACUAGUUGCCCAGGCUGACCUAGAACUUGCAAUCCUCCUGCCUCAGCCCUCCAAGUAGCUAGGAUUGCUGGCAUAAGGCACUGCACCCAGCCUGAGAUUUCUU